CAUGCAUAGAAUUGAUAUGAAAAGUAUAUAGAAAUGUGAAUCGAAUUGCCAUGCAUGAAAUGAUAUGAAAAGUAUGAAUUGAGAUAUGAUGCAUAUGAAUGAAUGGUGCGGCGGACGCACAGGUGAGUAUCAGGUGAGUAUUUAAUUACUGUUAUGAUGAUGUUGAUAUAUAUUGAGCUCAAAUCCUGCACCAUGGUUUAGUGCUUAUAGUAUUCACCGCAUCGCACGCUCGCCUUGGAUCCAAGUAGAUGCUAGUCGUACAGUCCACGCGGAGUGGGUACGACAGGCCAGUCGCGAGAGUGUUAGUGAGAUUCCGACUGGUGGGUGACCUUAGAUUAUGUGCACAGAUGAUUUAUGAGAAGCACUAGAGCGUAACUUGUGUGCAGAAGGCCGGACGGGUCACAGAGGUGACUCCGGUAGAGUGAUAGUGAUAGAUUUUGAGCUCUAGGUUCAACCGUACAGGGCUAUUAGAGGGCCUACGGUUGAUUACUUUCUUGCACCUGAUAUGAUUAUUGUUGAUGCAUCCAUACUUAACUAUUGAAUUAGACAUGGCAUGGCAUGAUUGAUAAAGAAAAAUGUUGAGAUAGUAAAAAUGAAGUUUUGAGAAUAUAUAUGUAUAUUUAUAUUUUACAUUUCUGGGAAAGUAUACAGGUUUUACGGAGAGGGGUUACAACGUUUUGAGAAAUGUUUGGAUUUUGAAAAGAAUUGUUUUACUGACCCACUCAAUUUUGGUUUUGCGCCCCUCCAGGUUCAAGAAUCACAAAGGUGUGGUGACUACGAGGAAUUCGACGGUGUUCUGACAGAUUGGACAAAAUUAGGACUCACCUUCGGGUGUAUCAACUUAUAAAUUGUAUCUUAAAGCUUCCGUACUGUGUAAAUGGUUACGUCACUCUCACGUGACGGCCAGCAUGCCCUCCUUCGGGACGGGGUGUGUCAGUCGACCUUAGAUUAUGUGCACAGAUGAUUUAUGAGAAGCACUAGAGCGUAACUUGUGUGCAGAAGGCCGGACGGGUCACAGAGGUGACUCCGGUAGAGUGAUAGUGAUAGAUUUUGAGCUCUAGGUUCAACCGUACAGGGCUAUUAGAGGGCCUACGGUUGAUUACUUUCUUGCACCUGAUAUGAUUAUUGUUGAUGCAUCCAUACUUAACUAUUGAAUUAGACAUGGCAUGGCAUGAUUGAUAAAGAAAAAUGUUGAGAUAGUAAAAAUGAAGUUUUGAGAAUAUAUAUGUAUAUUUAUAUUUUACAUUUCUGGGAAAGUAUACAGGUUUUACGGAGAGGGGUUACAACGUUUUGAGAAAUGUUUGGAUUUUGAAAAGAAUUGUUUUACUGACCCACUCAAUUUUGGUUUUGCGCCCCUCCAGGUUCAAGAAUCACAAAGGUGUGGUGACUACGAGGAAUUCGACGGUGUUCUGACAGAUUGGACAAAAUUAGGACUCACCUUCGGGUGUAUCAACUUAUAAAUUGUAUCUUAAAGCUUCCGUACUGUGCAAAUGGUUACGUCACUCUCACGUGACGGCCAGCAUGCCCUCCUUCGGGA
This 1537-nucleotide long non-coding RNA is filed under the name Malus domestica (apple). RNAcentral's name for it is "long non-coding RNA (MDOM_LNC002143)". The record is from RNAcentral. Lineage: Eukaryota; Viridiplantae; Streptophyta; Magnoliopsida; Rosales; Rosaceae.